GACGAACGCUGGCGGCGUGCUUAACACAUGCAAGUCGAACGGAAAGGCCCUGCUUUUGUGGGGUGCUCGAGUGGCGAACGGGUGAGUAACACGUGAGUAACCUGCCCUUGACUUUGGGAUAACUUCAGGAAACUGGGGCUAAUACCGGAUAGGAGCUCCUGCUGCAUGGUGGGGGUUGGAAAGUUUCGGCGGUUGGGGAUGGACUCGCGGCUUAUCAGCUUGUUGGUGGGGUAGUGGCUUACCAAGGCUUUGACGGGUAGCCGGCCUGAGAGGGUGACCGGCCACAUUGGGACUGAGAUACGGCCCAGACUCCUACGGGAGGCAGCAGUGGGGAAUAUUGCACAAUGGGCGGAAGCCUGAUGCAGCAACGCCGCGUGCGGGAUGAAGGCCUUCGGGUUGUAAACCGCUUUCGCCUGUGACGAAGCGUGAGUGACGGUAAUGGGUAAAGAGGCACCGGCUAACUACGUG
RNAcentral lists this ribosomal RNA (468 nucleotides) under uncultured bacterium. RNAcentral describes it as "partial 16S ribosomal RNA". It matches the Rfam family "Bacterial small subunit ribosomal RNA", at positions 28 to 507 of the family's 1533-position model. The record is from RNAcentral.